RNAcentral lists this unclassified non-coding RNA (360 nucleotides) under fungal sp. Its description in RNAcentral is "partial internal transcribed spacer region". The stretch from base 1 to 46 matches the Rfam family "Eukaryotic small subunit ribosomal RNA", at positions 1786 to 1831 of the family's 1831-position model. The record is from RNAcentral. Lineage: Eukaryota; Fungi.
AAGUCGUAACAAGGUUUCCGUAGGUGAACCUGCGGAAGGAUCAUUAACUCAAUAUAUCAUCUUGUCGGCCUCACGGCUGACUUGGUGGUCAUAUAUCAAAACCAAAAUUUACAAUCCGUGAACAUUACAAACAAACAAAAAUGAUGGGUUUGCGUGCCAUUACUUCUGAAUGCACGUACUCAGCUAAUACCAAUUCCACCAAUUUUUUUAACCAUAUUAACAAUCAUUACCGUAACGAUAGUCCUUCGGGAUUGGCGUACUAAAACAAGCGCAUGUUAUUACUUUCGAGAAUGCAUGCACCAACUUAUUCUAAUAAAUAAAGAGAAAAUACAACUCUUAACAAUGGAUAUCUUGGCUCUC